UACGAAGGGGGCUAGCGUUGCUCGGAAUCACUGGGCGUAAAGGGUGCGUAGGCGGGUUUUUAAGUCAGGGGUGAAAUCCUGGAGCUCAACUCCAGAACUGCCUUUGAUACUGAAGAUCUUGAGUCCGGGAGAGGUGAGUGGAACUGCGAGUGUAGAGGUGAAAUUCGUAGAUAUUCGCAAGAACACCAGUGGCGAAGGCGGCUCACUGGCCCGGUACUGACGCUGAGGCACGAAAAGCGUGGG
This 243-nucleotide ribosomal RNA is filed under the name uncultured bacterium. RNAcentral describes it as "partial 16S ribosomal RNA". It matches the Rfam family "Bacterial small subunit ribosomal RNA", at positions 524 to 765 of the family's 1533-position model. The record is from RNAcentral.